Amphimedon queenslandica is the source of this 563-nucleotide long non-coding RNA. RefSeq lists it as uncharacterized. The transcript is spliced from 3 exons. NCBI's taxonomy places the organism in Eukaryota, Metazoa, Porifera, Demospongiae, Haplosclerida, Niphatidae. The record is from RefSeq and is a predicted model, not a curated record.
CCUUGAUUGACUUAUUAACAUGAAAAAUUUCAUCACCACAGCAGUAAAUUGUAUAAGUGUUUCUAUUGUGCAUACACAAUAGAAAUAUUAGUGACCCCUCUUUUUAAAAUAUUUUUAACCCUGCCCCCUUGUAUAAAAUCCAGAUGAAGGCCUGCAUGUAAUCGUUCAUGUACAUGUAUUGGUUUUGUCUUUAUAUUCUCCCUCCCCCUCUCUCCCUCAGGAGGAGAGCAGGGUUCAAGCAAGAGAGGAGGAAGAGAAGAGACGUGAGAUUGCAGAGAAAUUCCAAACAACAAUUGACGACAUUACGGAAAGAAUGCAAGAGCACCAUGACAGGAACGUGUCACUGAAACAAGAAAAUGCUGAUUUAGUAGGCAAGUUAAAGAAACUGAUUGAACAAUAUGAAGCGAGAGAAAAACAAUUUGAAGAGUUAUUGAAGCACAAGCAGUUGGAGCUUCAGUUAGGAGAAGCUAAACUAGCCCAGCAGAUGGUGGCAAUGGCUGAGACUAAAGAGAGCAACCUUGUGGAGAGACAAUAUGUGAGAAUGAGGCAUACUUUAAUUAAUG